Molecule: long non-coding RNA, 3400 nt
Filed under: Homo sapiens (human)
Lineage: Eukaryota; Metazoa; Chordata; Mammalia; Primates; Hominidae
Description: HSALNT0309537
Source: RNAcentral
AUUUCUGGGUCAGAUAACUCCCUGCUCUCAGCCCUGAUGACUACACCUUUGACACACACUAUAUUGCUCCAUUGUCAGCCACUCUCCCUCCCACUGCCCUGAAGAUGGAAAUGUACCCAACCUUCAAGCCCCUGUCGGUCCAGCUCGCGAAGUUUCCGGCUGAAGAUUCAUUAUCAGAUGGAUGAGAUGUUCAUCUCCACUUACACAGCCUACGGCUUGUGUGUGGAGAAAGAUGUUGAGCCAACAAAAUGAUCUGCAACACAAAAUUCUACUCUCCUCUUCACUCUUUAUUGCUAAAGCACUUAUUUCACUGGUUUCAAGCUGCUUUAAAAGGAGUGAAUAUGCAGGUAAGGAGAUUGGACCGGGUUGGAGUGUCUGUCCCUGCAGCUGGGUCCUCCAGGCAUGGACACAUGUUUGUAAGAUUAAAAAGACCAUUGCAAGGCCAGGCAUGGUGGCUCAUGCCUGAAAUCACAGCACUUUGGGAGGCUGAGACAAAUGGAUCGCUUGAGGUCAGGAGUUCAAGACCAGCCUGGCCAACAUGGUGAAACCCCACCUCUACUAAAAUACAAUAAUUAGCUGGGCAUGGUGGCAGGUGCCCGUAAUCCCAGCUACUUGAGAGGCUGAGACAGGAGAAUCGCUUGAACCAGGAGACGGAGGUUGCAGUGAGCCGGGAUCGCACCACUACACUCCAGCCUGGGCCACAGAGCAAGACUCUGUCUCAAAAAAAAAAAAAAAAAAUGAUGAUGUUGCAGUUCCCAGAUAUGAGUCCGCAACAUGCUCUUGCUAUAACCCAUUGGAUUAAAAAGAGUCCUUCCCUUUGGACUGUGGGUCCAAAGCUUUGCCCCAUUUUUCUCUUUCCAUUGCUACUAUUCAAAUCCUGAAUGGCAGUUUCUUGAGAGGUUAAUUGGUAGUAGGCCAGCAUUAAAAAAGUCAGAGGGGGCAGGAGUCCUGUGGUCAUGGAUUUCUGAAAAGCCAUAUUAACAUAUUAACAAAGUUAGAUGCCUGUCUUUAUUGCAGAGCUCGGGAGCCUUUUCUACGCUCAGGUCUUUUCAAAUCCCCAGUGGAACUCUGCUGCGGUUUUUCUCAGUUUGACCUCAGCGCCUUUUGUUUCCUGUGGAAUGUCAUGGGAUUAGCAUUCCUGGCGGUACUUAGGGAGACAUGUUUUCUAGCAGUCUGGGUCCCAGAAGGGCAAGUCAAGUAAUCAAUCAACAAGAAAGUACACAAAUAUGUUGCAUGUCAAGUUAUCAUCAAUUUUAAAAUAUUAUUGAUGACAUUUUUAAUCAGUUUAUUUAUUUGUACUAAACCUAUUUCUACUUACAGAACUCCUCAAUUCCCACUAGCCCCAUUUCAAGUGCUCAGGAGCUCCAUGGAGCUCCCUCGCAGCUCGAUUGGACGUGCAGAGCUUGAUGAAGCGGAUAAAAGACACUCAGGUUUAGACCCUUGGAGGGAGAGAACACAGAGGGCUUUGUGACCUUUUAAUGAGGCACAAAAACACCCCUGAGACUUUCCUUUUCCCACCCCUUCUCUAUUAAUCCUCUUCAACAACAUGAAUUUCCACAGUGAGUUGAGGGUUUACCCCUACCUGCCUCAAAGGAAUUUUGAAAAGAUUAAAAAAAAAAAAAAAGAAAGAAAGGAAAACAGAGCUUUGGCUCAGCACUCAGGACCCAUCCGAGGUGGUCGCAAUUAAAAACAAAAGCAGCCACUGUGAUUGGUCUCACUUGUACCGUAGUAACAUGUGAUCUAUUUCAGCAGCAGCCAUAGCGUUUGUUUUGGAGACUUCAGUCAGAAAAUAAACGUAACGCAUGUGUGAAAAGAAAGAAGUGUGUGGAACUCGGAGAAAGUCUUAUCUUCUGAACACGAGUGCCCGAGGACAGAAGCCCCCAUCUUUUAACAAAGAAAAGUCCAUUGUUCAUCAUUUUGUGAAAUGUGAAAACUAACAUGAUAAACAAUGAUUCAUUUUAAUGGACUGAAAAAUAACUUGCAUAGACACUGGAGGCCAAGAAAAGAAAAAAAAAAAAAGAAAGAAAAGAAAAAGCAUUAUCCUUUUAUCCAUUUAAAGAAAAAAAAGCAAAAUACAUCCUAUUAUCAGCUCUCAAUAGAUGAACAGGCACUAAGCAGAAGCUUCGGGAAGGCUGCUGUUUCAGAAAAACUUAACAGGUUUUUGAAAAGAAGAAUUCCAACCCCCUGAACUCCCACCCUCUUGUGCACACAACUGGAAGAAUGGCACACCCAGAUCUGAUGGUGAUAACUUUUAUUUGCAAAGAGAUGGGUUAGGAACGGCCAGCGGUUGGGGGCAGAUUGGAGAUGGGAGGAGAGCUCAUCAAAGGGCUUCAGUUAGUUGUAGGUAAACAGGCCUUGUCCCCUGACACUGUUCUUUUCCUUGCAACCCAUCAAAAGAUGUAUCUGAAUGGUGACUGGACCCAGGGGUGCUGGGGCGAGGGUGUCAGGAAGCCGCUUUCAGGAAUCAGCCAUCCUACUGCUCUUCCUGUAAGGAUUUCUGUUGCUCUUUAAAUCAGUAAGUGGAGACUAGGGCAUUCUAAUGUUGCAAACAUUAAACAGUCAAGCUACCACUUAAAUUUUCUGCUGCAAAAGAAAUUUCAACCACUGACUAGUUAAGGGGAAGGAUCUCCCCUACCCUAUAAUUCCCAUGGCUAAAACGCUUGACAUUUCUUAUUUCAGACUGGAAGAUUCUGUAGGCUGUCCGAUUUAGGUAAAUGGCGCUGUCUUUGGCUUUCGUUAUGAUGCUCAGAAGUGAGAGCUGCUGCAGUUUGACCCCCUCUCCCUGGCUGUGGGCUUUGCUGUGACACAAGGUAAAGUGAGGAGUCAGUGCUGCCCUGGGACCCAGCCCAAGCAUAUGGCUACACUGUGGCUUAGUGUCCGGGGGCUGCUUUAACAAAUGACCGCAAACUGGGUGUCUUCAAACAACAGAAGCUCUUCUCCUGGAGUUCUGAAGGCCAGAAGUCCAAAAUCAAGGUGUGGGCAGGCUAGGUUCCUUCCAAAAGCUCUGGGAGAAUGUUCCGGCUCUCUCCUGGCUUCUGGCAGUGCCAGGAUUCCUUGGCUGUCUUUGGUUCCUAGAUGCUGCACUCCAGUCUCUGUCUCCGUGGUCACAUGGUAUCCUCUCCGUGCCUCCCUGCGGCUUCAUGUGGUCUUCUUAUAAGGACACCAGUCACUGGAUUUAGGACCCACCCUAAAUCCAGGAGGACUUCAUCUAUGAGAAUGGCAUACACAAAGAGCCUAUUUCCAAAUAAGUUCACAUUCUGAGGUUCUGGGUGGACAGGUAUUUGUUAGGACACUAUUUAGCCUAGUCCAUCCUCAUUCUUCUACUCCAAGAUGAAAUUUUCCUAAACUUCUAAUAGCUAUUUUUAUCACUGCAGAUUUUAUUACCUUGACAAAAAAAAAA